RNAcentral lists this transfer RNA (65 nucleotides) under Plagiorchis maculosus. RNAcentral describes it as "tRNA-Gln". Lineage: Eukaryota; Metazoa; Platyhelminthes; Trematoda; Plagiorchiida; Plagiorchiidae. The record is from RNAcentral.
UUGUAACUUGGUGUUAUAGGCAUAUUACAUUUUGGUUGUAGGGGUAAUUUGUUGUUAGUUACAAA